GCACCGGAGACCUCUUGCAGAUAUAGCAGUAUCCCCUACGAAAUGUUGUUUGGGUUACCUUAUUUGGGAAAGAUAGAAGGAAUACCCACCCUAGAGGGUAGUGAGGUUUUUCUUAAGGAACUAUUUACU
Amblyraja radiata (thorny skate) is the source of this 129-nucleotide long non-coding RNA. RefSeq lists it as uncharacterized. The transcript has 3 exons. The record is from RefSeq and is a predicted model, not a curated record. Lineage: Eukaryota; Metazoa; Chordata; Chondrichthyes; Rajiformes; Rajidae.